This 407-nucleotide ribosomal RNA is filed under the name uncultured bacterium. RNAcentral describes it as "partial 16S ribosomal RNA". It matches the Rfam family "Bacterial small subunit ribosomal RNA", at positions 30 to 526 of the family's 1533-position model. The record is from RNAcentral.
AUUGAACGCUGGCGGCAGGCCUAACACAUGCAAGUCGAGCGGAGCGGCGGACGGGUGAGUAAUGUCUGGGAAACUGCCUGAUGGAGGGGGAUAACUACUGGAAACGGUAGCUAAUACCGCAUACUAUCAGAUGAGCCUAGGUCGGAUUAGCUAGUUGGUGGGGUAAAGGCCUACCAAGGCGACGAUCCGUAACUGGUCUGAGAGGAUGAUCAGUAACACGGGAAAUGAGACACGGUCCGGAUUCCUACGGGAGGAAACAGUGGGGAAUAUGGGAGAAUGGGGGAAAGCCUGAGCCAGCCAUGCCGCGUGUGUGAAAAAGGUCUUCGGAUUUGAAAGCAUUUUAAGUUGGGAGGCGUUACCAACAAAAUAAGCACCGGCUAACUUCGUGCCAGCAGCCGCGGUAAUAC